GGAGGGGUGGCAGAGCGGUUCAAUGCACCGGUCUUGAAAACCGGCGGGCGNAAGCCCUCGUGGGUUCGAAUCCCACCCCCUCCG
RNAcentral lists this transfer RNA (84 nucleotides) under Myxococcales bacterium. RNAcentral's name for it is "tRNA-Ser". It matches the Rfam family "tRNA". From Rfam's summary of the family: Transfer RNA (tRNA) molecules are approximately 80 nucleotides in length. Their secondary structure includes four short double-helical elements and three loops (D, anti-codon, and T loops). Lineage: Bacteria; Pseudomonadati; Myxococcota; Myxococcia; Myxococcales. The record is from RNAcentral.